GUUCCUUCCAGGCCCUGAAAUGGUUGUCUUAGAGGAAUCUCCUCGCUGAUGUGAGAUCCCUAUUGGAUGAGGUUGUGGCAUUCAAGAGCUGUCCAGUCACCAAGAUGAUAUGUCCUCCCCCAAAGUGGAGUCUGUCAUCCUCAAAAAUUUGUGGAACAUGCAUUCAUCCCACCUUCCCCAUGGAUGGAGAGAUACCUGUGUGGAGAGCAGAUUGUCCUCAAGACAGAGUUCAUAUGGCCACGACUUGGAUGCCAAAUCAUUACAACAGAGGCGAGGCUACUCCUUCAGCACUAAAGGUGACUCACAAGCAGCACCACUCUAGGAAAGUUAAAAGUGAUAAUUCGACAAGACUAGAGGAUUGUGUGGGACUCAAAGGGAUGAAACAGCCUUGCAGGGGCUCUCCUUCCUCUGUCUCUUAGUGAUGAAUGAAAGUGGAAAGCCAGAUCAAUUCAGAGCUGCUGAAAAAUAAAAGAUGAUCACGUCUUCAUGAACACCCAGGAUUUGUCAUAAAAUAAAUUCUGCCACCUCUGUCUUCUC
This is a long non-coding RNA of Pipra filicauda (Wire-tailed manakin), 537 nucleotides long. RefSeq lists it as uncharacterized. Lineage: Eukaryota; Metazoa; Chordata; Aves; Passeriformes; Pipridae. The transcript is spliced from 3 exons. The record is from RefSeq and is a predicted model, not a curated record.